AGCAUACUGAAUACUCCCACCUGUGAGAUCUGAGCCAAAAUUGCAUUUAUUUUCUGUGUGACUAUGCUGCUUGGUAACCCUAGAACUUGUUUAUGGAUUUUAGCUAGUUGGUAUAAUUUACAUGAUUAGGGCAAUUUUCUUCAAAUUAGAGCCCCAGAAUUAUUUCCUUGAGCUUUAAAUGAUAAACCUUUGCUAAACCACUUUGAGCCGAAUGAAAUUCUUUUGUAAGCCCUUGAAUUGAAAUGGAUGAAAAGGUGUGUCUUCCACACCAUGCAAAAGAUAAAGGGAAGUUUAUUGCUCUAAGUGAAAAAAGCAUAACUUGAGAAAGGAAGGUCUGGGCACAAAAAU
This 348-nucleotide long non-coding RNA is filed under the name Salvia miltiorrhiza (redroot sage). RNAcentral describes it as "long non-coding RNA (SMIL_LNC013733)". Lineage: Eukaryota; Viridiplantae; Streptophyta; Magnoliopsida; Lamiales; Lamiaceae. The record is from RNAcentral.